GGACCCGCACAAGCAGUGGAGUAUGUGGUUUAAUUCGACGCAACGCGAAGAACCUUACCAGGGCUUGACAUCCUACUAACGAAGCAGAGAUGCAUUAGGUGCCCUUCGGGGAAAGUAGAGACAGGUGGUGCAUGGUUGUCGUCAGCUCGUGUCGUGAGAUGUUGGGUUAAGUCCCGCAACGAGCGCAACCCUUAUUGUUAGUUGAUACAUUUAGUUGAUCACUCUAGCGAGACUGCCGUUGAUAAAACGGAGGAAGGUGGGGACGACGUCAAAUCAUCAUGCCCUUUAUGUCCUGGGCUACACACGUACUACAAUGGCAGUCAUACAGAGGGAUGCAAAACGGCGACGUGGAGCGAAACCCUAAAAGCUGUCUCAGUUCAGAUUGCAGGCUGCAACUCGCCUGCAUGAAGGCGGAAUUGCUAGUAAUCGCGGAUCAGCAUGCCGCGGUGAAUACGUUCCCGGGUCUU
This 467-nucleotide ribosomal RNA is filed under the name uncultured bacterium. RNAcentral's name for it is "bacterial SSU rRNA". It matches the Rfam family "Bacterial small subunit ribosomal RNA", at positions 917 to 1382 of the family's 1533-position model. The record is from RNAcentral.